GGUGCGAUGGCGAAGUGGCCUAACGCUGCGGUUUGCAAAACCGCCAUUCGCGGGUUCGACUCCCGCUCGCACCU
This 74-nucleotide transfer RNA is filed under the name Minisyncoccota bacterium. RNAcentral's name for it is "tRNA-Cys". It matches the Rfam family "tRNA". Rfam says of the family: Transfer RNA (tRNA) molecules are approximately 80 nucleotides in length. The record is from RNAcentral. Lineage: Bacteria; Bacillati; Minisyncoccota.